UCUCCAUUCACUUCAGAGUCCCACACACUCAAGGACCUGUGCAGACUGCUGCAAGACACGCUCUGAAUAGCAGCACUACCCGGACAACUUUCUCCCUUGUGGUUUUCUAAGAGGAUCUGCUCGUUUGGAUUAUAUUCUUCUAGGACUAUUAAACGCUAUUUUAGAAACAGUCGUUGGUUUAAUUAUAACAGCUGCGCGUCUUUUUUGAUAUUUCAGUGAAUCGGACUUAAGUUUUAAACCUGUUUUGUAGAUGGUGAAGGACAAGUGCAAUGCGCUUCAGACUUGUCUCUUGGGAUUGUCCCACUUUCGCCUAAGGAGCUAUGUCGAUCUGCCGCACUGAUCUUGUUCAAGAGGACGCAGUCCAAUGUGAAUAACAAGAGUCAACUUCCAGCCUCUUCAGAUUUUCACAGCUUCAAGCAAGUGCAGCACGGAGUCUGACUGAGCCCGCUGACACCCUGAUUUCUGCCCCCGAGGGGAUGGUUGUGGAUCCUGUGGGGCCAGGAGCGAUUCUGCGGCUCCUACAGAACAGCACAUUUUUCUUGUUCGUGGUUAGAUCUAAAUUACAGGGAGAUGAGACCCGCACUUUGUUACUUCCUGCUGUGGACGACGUACCUGCUGCUGGCCAGCUCUGAGGAAGUGGAGUUUCCCCAGGAGCUGAUAGACAGACUGUCCCACAGUGAAAUCCACAGCAUCAGCGACCUCCAGCGGCUACUGGACAUUGAAUCCGUAGGUGCGGGAAACAAUGUUAUCGAGGAGCCCAAGCACCACAAGCACCACAACCCCCACAAGAACUACUCCCGUCAACAUGGUUACUACAAUGACCUGAAGAGCUCCCAGCUUCACAGCCGACGCAAGAGGAGCAUUGCAGAGGAGGCGGUCCCGGCGGUGUGUAAGACGCGGACAGUGAUCUACGAGAUCCCCAGGAGUCAGGUGGAUUCCACGUCUGCCAACUUCCUGAUAUGGCCGCCCUGUGUGGAGGUGAAGCGCUGCACAGGCUGCUGCAACACAAGCAACAUGCGCUGUCACCCUUCCCGCAAGCACCACCGCACCGUUAAGGUAGCAAAGGUGGAGUACGUGAGGAGGAAACCCAAGCUGAAAGAGGUCUUUGUGCGGUUAGAAGACCAUCUGGAAUGUGUGUGCACGUCGCAACAUCACGUUGUGGAGCACUCAGAUGCAGAAACAGGCCACCGUAGGGCUAAAGGUAAAAAAAGGAAACCUAAAAAGCUAAGGCCCAGCAAGGAUUUAUUGGCGACAUAAUAAAGUUGCACUCAAUACCCAAAGUCCACUGGAGAGCUGUGAAGUGAACAGUGGACGUGAGGUGAGACCAAUCAGAACAAGGGACUUCAGCGUGGGAGGGACCUAAAUAGUGGAUGCCACCAACAGGACACCUGCUCUGUCCUUUUCCCCAUUGCCAUGCAACCUUUGUUUUAAAAAAACAAAAAAAAAUUCUGCUAAGACAACAGACUGAAAAAAAGACAACAGACACAAAUAAACCAUACCAAAGGUGCUUUGUUAAAAACAGUAACCAGUGAUGAUGACUUCCUCUGUGGUACGCCACCUAACCGACAACUGAACCCUGCCGCUGAUUAAGAGAGAAAGAUGCUGUAGCCCGGGCAAGGCAGGAAGAGGCCGAAGGGAGAUGAUGAAAGGGAUUUGUGUUGAACAUUUGAGACUUUCUUUGAAGAAGACACACAACAGAAAUGGCUAUGAAACUGUUGGAUCAAGCUUUCGUGGGAAUCUGGUGCACAGACUCCAAAACAGCGGUGGAUGACCUCCAGCUGGGCAACAUUAAAGUGCCCUGCCCUGUUUAAAUGACUUUUUUCAUACAUCGUAAGAAAAAAAGAGAGAUAUAGGAACAAAAAACAUUGGAAAGAGAGAAAGAGAGAGACACAUGGAGGUGUUUGCUUUUUCAAAAGACUCUAUGGAUUAUCAAACAUUUUUUAGUAUUUGGAUGUUUGCUCUGAUUUAAGAAGAGAUCUUCUCCGAGACCCUUGUGAUCUGUGACUUUGCCCACUCUGCUAUGUACAGUUAAAUUUGAAAAGGACGAUGCGCCGCUACUUACAAACUAUUUAUAUGUGUGGCCGUUUGCCUUCUAUCUCUUCCAGUACAAAAAUAAAUAACAAAAAAUAUGUUUAAAUGAUUUUGAAGACAUGCAAGAAUUCAGGUUUUUGUAGCCAUCAGUUUCACAAUCUCAACGUCAUUUGUUUUUUUUAGUCAAUGUCAUUGUUGUCAUCCAUGUUUCUUAUUAUAUUACAGUAUAUCUGAAUGAUGUCAAGUCUUGUAAAUGGUUUGGAUAUAUGUAUGAAAGGAGGAGAUGUGAGAGUCAGUACAGGAAGAUGCUUUAUUUUUGUUAUGAAAUACAUUAAGCUUACUUAUAUCCGAGCAGGAAUUAUGCUUAUUUCUUUUGUUGUGGUUGAAUGCCUGUAUUUAAUCCAUUGGAAGAGAUGCAAAAAUGUGGGCAGGGGGGUAAGAUAGAAGUGGGUCUGCCAGUGUUUGUUGCAUCAGAGGCGUGAAGACACAAACAUGGCAAUAUGUUACAAGUGGCAUUUCACAAAAGCUUUCAUACAGCACAUUUAACUGGAGCAAUUAUUGUGCACCUGAAUCAUAUCCUAACCAAUAAUGAGUUAGGAUAGACAUAUUUGUUCUCUUACACAAGCCUUAAUUUAAUCCAUUACACUCUGAACACUGAUAAGAAAGAUUCCUGCCCGCUCUGCUUAGCAACCACACAUGUUUUUCACGCAAUGAGCAAAGUCCACCUUAAAGAGUGAAUGAGCAAGCAAAGCAAAUCGACAAGCGCAUGAAUGGGUUCCUUGUUUGGUUAGGCCUUACUCCUCUGUUGACAGGAGAACAAAUCUCAGAUCGUUACACCCUGUGAAGGUACUCACACAUUAUACCGCCACAUACCAUGGGGACAGAUGAUGAUGAGUGCUCUGAAGCAGCCUGAAAACAGUACAGUGCUGACCUGAACCCGUGCCCCGAUGGAACAAACAAUAACUUCCCUAACAGUUCCCUGUAACGGGGACAAAUGUGUAACCAGGCCAACACAGUACAACAACAACAACGGUCAGACAGUGUUCAAAUGAGGAAAUGAAAGGCGAGAGAGUGAUUAGUGCAAGUCAAAAGAUAAAGUUUAAAAGAAAAGAUGGCAGAUUUCUCACACACACACACACACACACACACACACACACACACACACAGCUUAACUAGCUAUCAGUUUAUUGGUGCUAUAUUUAUAAGGCUGAUGUGUCAUCACAUUUACAUUACUGUAAAAUAGUGUUCUCAGUUAACAAGGGACCACGCUUAAAGUGAUUUGAUUAAAGAAAAUACCAUUCCCCUAUCUCUAAGCGUUCAUUACUUUUUUUUUAGGACUUUCCUUGAAUAAAGACAUCAAUAAUCAUAAUUUAUAUAUUUAUGUUUUCAACAAUAAAUAUAUUUCUGGCUAAGGAAUUGUU
This is an RNA transcript of Trematomus bernacchii (emerald rockcod), 3452 nucleotides long. It is a transcript of the gene named platelet-derived growth factor alpha polypeptide b, with no coding region annotated. Lineage: Eukaryota; Metazoa; Chordata; Actinopteri; Perciformes; Nototheniidae. The record is from RefSeq and is a predicted model, not a curated record. The transcript is spliced from 7 exons.